This 326-nucleotide ribosomal RNA is filed under the name uncultured bacterium. RNAcentral's name for it is "bacterial SSU rRNA". It matches the Rfam family "Bacterial small subunit ribosomal RNA", at positions 32 to 339 of the family's 1533-position model. The record is from RNAcentral.
AAUCAACGCUGGCGGCGUGCCUCAGACAUGCAAGUCGAACGAGAACCUCCCUUCGGGGAGGAGACAGUGGCGCACGGGUGAGUAACACGUGGGUAAUUUACCUUUGGGUGGGGAACAACAGCCGGAAACGGCUGCUAAUACCGCAUAAUGCAGCGGCUCGACAUCGAGACAGUUGUUAAAGCGGGGGAGUCGCAAGACCUCGCGCCUGAAGAGAAGCCUGCGGCGGAUUAGCUAGUUGGUAGGGUAAUGGCCUACCAAGGCGACGAUCUGUAACCGGCCUGAGAGGGCGGUCGGUCACACUGACACUGACAUACGGGUCAGACUCC